UACGUAGGAGGCAAGCGUUAUCCGGAAUUACUGGGCGUAAAGGGCGUCUAGGUGGGGUGCCAAGCGGGGUGUGAAAGCGCCUGGCUUAACUGGGCGAGUGCGCUCCGAACUGGCAACCUAGAGGGCAGGCGACGGAGGUGGAAUACCCGGUGGAGUGGUGAAAUGCGUAGAGAUCGGGUGGAACACCAGUGGCGAAGGCGGCCUUCGAGCCUGUGCCUGACACUGAAGCGCGAGAGCGUGGGGAGCAAACGGGAUUAGAAACCCCCGUAGUCC
This 273-nucleotide ribosomal RNA is filed under the name uncultured bacterium. RNAcentral describes it as "partial 16S ribosomal RNA". It matches the Rfam family "Bacterial small subunit ribosomal RNA", at positions 524 to 796 of the family's 1533-position model. The record is from RNAcentral.